GAAGGUGGGACUGGCGAUUGGGACGAAGUCGUAACAAGGUAGCCGUACCGGAAGGUGCGGCUGGAUCACCUCCUUUCUAAGGAGCA
Molecule: ribosomal RNA, 86 nt
Filed under: Streptomyces stelliscabiei
Lineage: Bacteria; Bacillati; Actinomycetota; Actinomycetes; Kitasatosporales; Streptomycetaceae
Also listed under: 1 other name
Description: partial 16S ribosomal RNA
Rfam family: Bacterial small subunit ribosomal RNA (bases 1-76)
Source: RNAcentral